Molecule: ribosomal RNA, 377 nt
Filed under: uncultured bacterium
Lineage: Bacteria
Description: bacterial SSU rRNA
Rfam family: Bacterial small subunit ribosomal RNA
Source: RNAcentral
UAAUACGUAGGUGGCAAGCGUUGUCCGGAUUUACUGGGCGUAAAGAGCGCGCAGGCGGUCGUUCAAGUCGCGUGUGAAAGCCCCCGGCUCAACUGGGGAGGGUCACGCGAUACUGAUCGACUCGAAGGCAGGAGAGGGUAGUGGAAUUCCCGGUGUAGUGGUGAAAUGCGUAGAUAUCGGGAGGAACACCAGUGGCGAAGGCGACUACCUGGCCUGUUCUUGACGCUGAGGCGCGAAAGCUAGGGGAGCAAACGGGAUUAGAUACCCCGGUAGUCCUAGCUGUAAACGAUGAGUGCUGGGUGUAGAGGGUAUUAACCCCUUCUGUGCCGAAGCUAACGCAUUAAGCACUCCGCCUGGGGAGUACGGUCGCAAGGCUG